GUUUAUCAAAAACAUGUCUUUUAGGAAUUAAUUUAAAGUCUAACCUGCCCACUGAAUAAAUUUAAAUGGCCGCAGUAUUUUAACUGUGCAAAGGUAGCAUAAUCAUUAGUCUUUUUAUUGAAGGCUGGAAUGAAUGGUUGGAUAAGAUAUUAACUGUUUCAUAAAAAUUUAUAAUAGAAUUUUAUUUUUUAGUUAAAAAGCUAAAAUAGUAUUAAAAGACGAGAAGACCCUAUAAAUCUUUAUAUUUUAUUGGGGUGAUAUUAAAAUUUAAUAAACUUUUAAUUUUUAUUUUACAUUAAUUAAUGAAUUUAUGAUCCUUUAUUUACGAUUAAAAAUUUAAGUUACUUUAGGGAUAACAGCGUAAUUUUUUUAGAGAGUUCAUAUUGACAAAAAAGAUUGCGACCUCGAUGU
RNAcentral lists this ribosomal RNA (411 nucleotides) under Apocephalus paulus. RNAcentral describes it as "partial 16S ribosomal RNA". It matches the Rfam family "Bacterial large subunit ribosomal RNA", at positions 1802 to 2532 of the family's 2925-position model. The record is from RNAcentral. Lineage: Eukaryota; Metazoa; Arthropoda; Insecta; Diptera; Phoridae.